This 77-nucleotide transfer RNA is filed under the name Klebsiella pneumoniae. RNAcentral's name for it is "tRNA-Ile". It matches the Rfam family "tRNA". From Rfam's summary of the family: Transfer RNA (tRNA) molecules are approximately 80 nucleotides in length. Their secondary structure includes four short double-helical elements and three loops (D, anti-codon, and T loops). Lineage: Bacteria; Pseudomonadati; Pseudomonadota; Gammaproteobacteria; Enterobacterales; Enterobacteriaceae. The record is from RNAcentral.
GUUCGCAUAGCUUAACAAGGUUAAGCACCCGACUCAUAAUCGGAUGAUUUCAGGUUCGAUCCCUGAUGCGAGCACCA